UACGAAGGGGGCUAGCGUUGCUCGGAAUCACUGGGCGUAAAGCGCACGUAGGCGGGUCUUUAAGUCAGGGGUGAAAUCCUGGAGCUCAACUCCAGAACUGCCUUUGAUACUGAAGAUCUCGAGUCCGGAAGAAGUGAGUGGAACUCCGAGUGUAGAGGUGAAAUUCGUAGAUAUUCGGAAGAACACCAGUGGCGAAGGCGGCUCACUGGUCCGGUACUGACGCUGAGGUGCGAAAGCGUGGGGAGCAAACAGG
Molecule: ribosomal RNA, 253 nt
Filed under: uncultured bacterium
Lineage: Bacteria
Description: partial 16S ribosomal RNA
Rfam family: Bacterial small subunit ribosomal RNA
Source: RNAcentral